RNAcentral lists this ribosomal RNA (492 nucleotides) under uncultured bacterium. RNAcentral describes it as "partial 16S ribosomal RNA". It matches the Rfam family "Bacterial small subunit ribosomal RNA", at positions 29 to 507 of the family's 1533-position model. The record is from RNAcentral.
AUUGAACGCUGGCGGCAUGCUUUACACAUGCAAGUCGAACGGUAACAGGCCUUCGGGUGCUGACGAGUGGCGAACGGGUGAGUAAUGCAUCGGAACGUACCCAGAGGUGGGGGAUAACGCAGCGAAAGCUGUGCUAAUACCGCAUGUGAUCUGAGGAUGAAAGCGGGGGACCGAGCAGCAAUGUUUGGCCUCGCGCCUUUGGAGCGGCCGGUGUCGGAUUAGCUAGUGGGUGGGGUAAAGGCCUACCAAGGCGACGAUCCGUAGCUGGUCUGAGAGGACGACCAGCCACACUGGGACUGAGACACGGCCCAGACUCCUACGGGAGGCAGCAGUGGGGAAUGUUGGACAAUGGGCGCAAGCCUGAUCCAGCAAUGCCGCGUGCGGGAAGAAGGCCUUCGGGUUGUAAACCGCUUUUGGCAGGAACGAAACGGUGUCCGCUAAUACCGGGCGCUAAUGACGGUACCUGCAGAAUAAGCACCGGCUAACUACGUG